UCUUGUUAUUGUAAAAAAACAAAUUGACGUCAGUUUUUUAUGCGUCUGUUCUCUUCUUGAUGACAAAUGUCGUUAUAACAUUGUCAACGUUUACUGCGGAACCACUCGCCUGCGGCUCGAAGUUCUACAGCCACUUUGACAGUGUUAUAACGCAAUUUAUCAUCAAUAAGAGGACAGACGUCAAUUUGUUAAGUCCAGGGGUGGGGGCAGAAGACUCCUGAAACUUUUGUACUGGACAAGUCGAAUGGCACUCACUCACUCGAUUCUGAUUAAAAGGUUUUUGACGAGGGGAGACUAGAAAGGCGUAAAUUUUUGCCCGAAAAAUCGAGAGCCUGAGUACUAGUUUGUUGAGAGCAUCAAAGAUUGAAGUCGGCCAUUUUGUUUUCAAGUGUUUUCUUUCGUAAAUAUGUUGGUUUUUGAUUAUCAACUUUUGCUCACACAUGGAUGAAAGCUGGUAGAGGUAUUUAUGACUGUGGUGAAGUAUCGGUCACAACAGCACGGCCGGCGAGGUGAAAGAAUUGAUACAAGAAAGCCAGAAGUGGGAUCGUGUUAACUUAGCACAUGGGGGAAAUUUAAAAGCUCGUAGCUUUUUCUCUUGGCAAGAGAAUUCGAUGGCUUCCACUCGCUUUCUGUCCUUGUGGAGUCCUAGUUUGACCAGUAUGCAAGUCAACCUACAUGUACGAUCGAGUAAAUAUACUCCUAAAUAUUCUAGUGAUCAUGGAUGGACAAAUUAAGUCCAAGAGACCGUGUAGAUCUACUUUUUGCGAGAGAGAUAUGCUGUCCAAUUGUGACCAACAUAAACUGGAUGCAUGGUGGCUGGUGAUGUAGAGUUUUUUUUUACUUCUAGAAAUGAGAGAUUUAAACAAAUUUAAAUCAAAACUUGAAAUAGUUAUGGAGAAGAGAAUGUUUGAUACUUGUCAACAUAAGUAUGUUCUGUAAUCAUUGCAAAAAUCUAUUAGAAGAGGCGUAUCUGCAAUCUUUUGAAUAUUACUGCAUUGCAAGUGAGAUUAGCACAAACAGUUACUAAGAUACAUAGUAAUAAAGUACUAUGAUUUGUGUUUCCAA
Molecule: long non-coding RNA, 1065 nt
Organism: Orbicella faveolata
Lineage: Eukaryota; Metazoa; Cnidaria; Anthozoa; Scleractinia; Merulinidae
Source: RefSeq, a predicted model, not a curated record